This is a long non-coding RNA of Schistocerca nitens (vagrant locust), 845 nucleotides long. RefSeq lists it as uncharacterized. The transcript has 3 exons. NCBI's taxonomy places the organism in Eukaryota, Metazoa, Arthropoda, Insecta, Orthoptera, Acrididae. The record is from RefSeq and is a predicted model, not a curated record.
UUCACGGAAGGACAACUGUUCGCGAUUGUGCUUUUACGCAGGGCGAGUAGCGAUCUGAAAGUUGCAGAGUGGUCGCAAGACGGUUUGUGGUGAGAGUUAACUACUGGCGUGUUCGUGCCUGUUUGUGUUGCUGCGUGACGCCUGCGGUUUGUGGAAGCGGUAUCACGACAGUUCGAGUGUAAAAUGCUGUUCGACUAUUUGAAGGAUCUUUUCUCGAAUUUUAGUUGCAAUAGAGUCGUUUGCUUCGCCACGAAAAAGAGUGAGACGUCUAAGCAGAAAAUACAAUCGUCCACGCGAGCUACGGCAUAGCGUAUUUUGCGGAAUGACCUAGACGGUAGCUUUUAUUUCUUUUAUCUUUUUAAUCACUUUUAAGAUAUGCACGUUUGCAAUUUCAUUUACCCAGAAGUUAAUAAGAAAUAGUCGGUUUCGAAAUUUCUCGUUCUUGCAGGUGUAAAUAUGGAGUAAAUCCAGUGAUCUCCAACUACCUGGAAUUUUGGCUGAGGAGAAAAGCGGAUGGUGCUGCAGUUCUUGGUCACGCUGCGAGCGGAUUGUGCUGACGGGUGUGGCAAUGAUGGGCUUCACGGCGUCUGCGGAGCUGUUGUUUACUUCUGCUUUUGUGGCGCAUUCGAAUAUGACUGGGUACUGUAGAAAAUAAUGUAUGAGAACCAUAAGGAGCAAGUUUGUUGAGAUUCACAGCCGGAAAGUAUGGUUGUGUAAAUUGUCAUUUCUCCAUCAGAUUGUGAAGUAGCCUUUCCUGUGCUUCGUCCAACUUCGUGUCAUUAUAAAAUUGGUUGCAUUAUACAAGUGUUAUUUUUUGUGUAGAGACAUACAACACUUUCUGUAUA